Molecule: long non-coding RNA, 432 nt
Filed under: Zonotrichia albicollis (white-throated sparrow)
Lineage: Eukaryota; Metazoa; Chordata; Aves; Passeriformes; Passerellidae
Description: lncRNA (ENSZALG00000007164.1)
Source: RNAcentral
GAGCAGCCGGACCAGGGGCAGGGAAUCGUCGAUGCAGCUCUGGGAAUGCGGGAAUGGGAUUCGGAAUAAUGGGAACGGGAAUGGUGGGAAUGGGAAUGGUGGGAAUAACGGAAAUGGGAAUAACAGGAUUGGGAAUAAUGGGAUUGGGAUUGGGAAUGGUGAGAUUGGGAUUGGGAACAAUGGGAUUGGGAACAAUGGGAUUGGGAACAAUGGGAUUGGGAUUGGGACUGGGGUGGGAUUCAGGGUGCUGGGAUGUUGGGGGUUUAUGGGAUGGGAAGGAUGUGGAAAACGGGACGCCGGGAUUUGGGAUCAGCGGGGGAGAGCGGAAGGGAAGGAUCUGGAGCUGGGACGGGAAAGAUUUGGGGUUACCGGGAUCAGGAAAGGAUUUGGGAUCACCAGAAAUGGGAUGUGGAAAAAACAUGGAUCUGGGAU